UACGAAGGGGGCUAGCGUUGCUCGGAAUCACUGGGCGUAAAGCGCACGUAGGUGGCUUUCUAAGUCAGGGGUGAAAUCCUGGAACUCAACUCCAGAACUGCCUUUGAUACUGGAGAGCUUGAGUCCGGAAGAGGUGAGUGGAACUCCGAGUGUAGAGGUGAAAUUCGUAGAUAUUCGGAAGAACACCAGUGGCGAAGGCGGCUCACUGGUCCGGUACUGACGCUGAGGUGCGAAAGCGUGGGGAGCAAACAGG
This 253-nucleotide ribosomal RNA is filed under the name uncultured bacterium. Its description in RNAcentral is "partial 16S ribosomal RNA". It matches the Rfam family "Bacterial small subunit ribosomal RNA", at positions 524 to 776 of the family's 1533-position model. The record is from RNAcentral.